GUGUCAGCCGCCGCGGUAAUACAGAGGGUGCAAGCGUUAAUCGGAAUCACUGGGCUUAAAGCGUUCGUAGGCGGGCUUGCAGGCGCGUUGUGAAAGCCCCCGGCUCAACCGGGGAACUGCUUCGCGAACCGCAAGUCUUGAGUCAAGUAGGGGCGGUCGGAACGAUAGGUGGAGCGGUGAAAUGCGUAGAUAUCUAUCGGAACGCCAAAGGUGAAGACAGGCCGCUGGGCUUGUACUGACGCUGAGGAACGAAAGCGUGGGGAGCAAACGGGAUUAGAUACCCCUGUAGUCC
Molecule: ribosomal RNA, 292 nt
Filed under: uncultured bacterium
Lineage: Bacteria
Description: partial 16S ribosomal RNA
Rfam family: Bacterial small subunit ribosomal RNA
Source: RNAcentral